UAAACUAGGAUUAGAUACCCUAUUAUUUAAAAUGUAAUUUAUAACACUGAGGUAGUAGUAGCUAUGUUCUUGAAACUUAAAAAAUUUGGCGGUAUUUUAGUCUAUUCAGAGGAACCUGUCCUGUGAUUGAUAAUCCACGUUGAACCUUACUUAUAUUUGUUUUUCAGUUUAUAUACCGUCGUUAUCAGAAUAUUUUAUUAGAAAAAUAAUUUUCUAUAAUUUUUAUUGGAAUUUAUAUCAGAUCAAGGUGUAGCUUAUAUUUAAGUAGAGAUGGGUUACAAUAAAUUUAUUUAAACGGAUUUAGAUUUGUAAUAUUUUAAUGAAGGUGGAUUUGAUAGUAAAAUUUUAAAGAUUGUAAAUUUGAUUUUAGCUCUAGAAUAUGCACACAUCGCCCGUCGCUCUUGCUAUUAAGGUAAGAUAAGUCGUAACAUAGUA
RNAcentral lists this ribosomal RNA (435 nucleotides) under Dacus pedunculatus. RNAcentral's name for it is "partial 12S ribosomal RNA". The record is from RNAcentral. Lineage: Eukaryota; Metazoa; Arthropoda; Insecta; Diptera; Tephritidae.